Molecule: ribosomal RNA, 503 nt
Filed under: uncultured bacterium
Lineage: Bacteria
Description: partial 16S ribosomal RNA
Rfam family: Bacterial small subunit ribosomal RNA
Source: RNAcentral
AUUGAACGCUUGCGGCAGGCUUAACACAUGCAAGUCGAGCGGGGUGAUGGUGCUUGCACUAUCACUUAGCGGCGGACGGGUGAGUAAUGCUUAGGAAUCUGCCUAUUAGUGGGGGACAACAUCUCGAAAGGUAUGCUAAUACCUCAUACGUCCUACGGGAGAAAGCAGGGGAUCACUUUUGACCUUACGCUAAUAGAUGAGCCUAAGUCGGAUUAGCUAGUUGGUGGGGUAAGGGCCUACAAAGGAGAAGAUCUGUAGCGGGUCUGAGAGGAUGAGCCGCCACACUGGGACUGAGACACGGCCCAGAAUCCUACGGGAGGAAGCAGUGGGGAAUAUUGGACAAUGGGGGGAACCCUGAUCCAGCCAUGCCGCGUGUGUGAAGAAGGCCUUAUGGUUGUAAAGCACUUUAAGCGAGGAGGAGGCUCUUUUGGUUAAUACCCAAGAUGAGUGGACGUUACUCGCAGAAUAAGCACCGGCUAACUCUGUGCCAGCCGCCGCGGUAA